RNAcentral lists this ribosomal RNA (249 nucleotides) under uncultured Haemophilus sp. Its description in RNAcentral is "partial 16S ribosomal RNA". It matches the Rfam family "Bacterial small subunit ribosomal RNA", at positions 355 to 596 of the family's 1533-position model. The record is from RNAcentral. Lineage: Bacteria; Pseudomonadati; Pseudomonadota; Gammaproteobacteria; Pasteurellales; Pasteurellaceae.
UGGGGAAUAUUGCGCAAUGGGGGCAACCCUGACGCAGCCAUGCCGCGUGAAUGAAGAAGGCCUUCGGGUUGUAAAGUUCUUUCGGCAGCGAGGAAGGCAUUUAGUUUAAUAGACUAGGGGAUUGACGUUAACUACAGAAGAAGCACCGGCUAACUCCGUGCCAGCAGCCGCGGUAAUACGGAGGGGGCGAGCGUUAAUCGGAAUAACCGGGCGUAAAGGGCACGCAGGCGGUUUAGUAAGGCGGGGGGU